This 260-nucleotide ribosomal RNA is filed under the name uncultured prokaryote. Its description in RNAcentral is "partial 16S ribosomal RNA". It matches the Rfam family "Bacterial small subunit ribosomal RNA", at positions 524 to 784 of the family's 1533-position model. The record is from RNAcentral.
CACGUAGGGGCGAGCGUUGUCCGGAAUUACUGGGCGUAAAGGGCGCGCAGGCUGUUAUGCGAGUCUGCUGUGAAAUGUACCGGCUCAACCGGUGCCUUGCGGCGGAUACUGCAUAGCUGGAGUACUGGAGAGGGAAGUGGAAUUCCCGGUGUAGCGGUGAAAUGCGUAGAUAUCAGGAGGAACACCGGUGGCGAAGGCGGAUCUCUGGGCCGAUACUGACGCUGAGGCGCGAAAGCGUGGGGAGCAAACAGGAUUAGAUA